GGAGGAAAGUAGGGGAUCGAAAGACCUUAUGCUUUUGGAGCGGCCGAUGUCUGAUUAGCUAGUUGGUAAGGUAAUGGCUUACCAAGGCAACGAUCAGUAGUUGGUCUGAGAGGACGGCCAGCCACACUGGGACUGAGACACGGCCCAGACUCCUACGGGAGGCAGCAGUGGGGAAUUUUGGACAAUGGGCGCAAGCCUGAUCCAGCAAUGCCGCGUGAGUGAAGAAGGCCUUCGGGUUGUAAAGCUCUUUUAGUUGAAAAGAAAAGAUCGUGACUAAUAAUCACGAUUCAUGACGGUAUCAACAGAAAAAGCACCGGCUAACUACGUGCCAGCAGCCGCGGUAAUACGUAGGGUGCAAGCGUUAAUCGGAAUUACUGGCGUAAAGGGUGCGCAGGCGGUUUUGUAAGUCAGAUGUGAAAUCCCCGGGCUUAACCUGGGAAUUGCGUUUGAAACUACAAGGCUAG
This 464-nucleotide ribosomal RNA is filed under the name uncultured bacterium. Its description in RNAcentral is "bacterial SSU rRNA". It matches the Rfam family "Bacterial small subunit ribosomal RNA", at positions 198 to 644 of the family's 1533-position model. The record is from RNAcentral.